This 502-nucleotide ribosomal RNA is filed under the name uncultured bacterium. RNAcentral describes it as "partial 16S ribosomal RNA". It matches the Rfam family "Bacterial small subunit ribosomal RNA", at positions 30 to 523 of the family's 1533-position model. The record is from RNAcentral.
AUUGAACGCUGGCGGCAUGCCUUACACAUGCAAGUCGAACGGCAGCACGGGUGCUUGCACCUGGUGGCGAGUGGCGAACGGGUGAGUAAUAUAUCGGAACGUGCCUUAGAGUGGGGGAUAACUAGUCGAAAGAUUAGCUAAUAACGCAUACGAUCCACGGAUGAAAGUGGGGGAUCGCAAGACUCAAUGCUCUUAGAGCGGCCGAUAUCUGAUUAGCUAGUUGGUGGGGUAAAAGCCUACCAAGGAGACGAUCAGUAGCUGGUCUGAGAGGACGACCAGCCACAGUGGGACUGAGACACGGCCCAGACUCCUACGGGAGGCAGCAGUGGGGAAUUUUGGACAAUGGGGGCAACCCUGAUCCAGCAAUGCCGCGUGAGUGAAGAAGGCCUUCGGGUUGUAAAGCUCUUUUGUCAGGAAAGAAAUCCUAUUCGCUAAUACCGAGUGGGGAUGACGGUACCUGAAGAAUAAGCACCGGCUAACUACGUGCCAGCCGCCGCAGUAA